RNAcentral lists this small RNA (126 nucleotides) under unclassified sequences. RNAcentral's name for it is "LOOT RNA". It matches the Rfam family "LOOT RNA". From Rfam's summary of the family: Latescibacteria, OD1/Parcubacteria, OP11, TM7. Lineage (Microgenomates, aka OP11) The record is from Rfam by way of RNAcentral.
GGCCUAACCCAACAAUUUCGAUUGUUGGCAUGGUCAAAAACCAGUAACGGAUAAAGAACCCAUCGUCUAGGUUCACCUUUACCGGUCAUGCUCCGAAAGGAGUAUGGGUAGCCCUAAAAAGCUAUC